This 429-nucleotide ribosomal RNA is filed under the name uncultured archaeon. RNAcentral's name for it is "bacterial SSU rRNA". It matches the Rfam family "Archaeal small subunit ribosomal RNA", at positions 24 to 458 of the family's 1478-position model. The record is from RNAcentral.
CCCGACUGCUAUCAGAGUGGGACUAAGCCAUGCGAGUCAACAUAGCAAUAUGUGGCAUACGGCUCAGUAACACGUAGUCAACAUGCCCAGGGGACGUGGAUAACCUCGGGAAACUGAGGAUAAACCGCGAUAGGUCAUCACUUCUGGAAUGGGUAAUGACUUAAAUCUAUAUGGCCCCUGGAUUGGACUGCGGCCGAUCAGGCUGUUGGUGAGGUAAUGGCCCACCAAACCUGUAACCGGUACGGGCUCUGAGAGGAGGAGCCCGGAGAUGGGCACUGAGACAAGGGCCCAGGCCCUAUGGGGCGCAGCAGGCGCGAAACCUCUGCAAUAGGCGAAAGCUUGACAGGGUUACUCUGAGUGAUUUCCGUUAAGGAGAUCUUUUGGCACCUCUGAAAAUGGUGCAGAAUAAGGGGUGGGCAAGUCUGGUGU